Long non-coding RNA from Strongylocentrotus purpuratus (purple sea urchin), 3051 nucleotides. RefSeq lists it as uncharacterized. The record is from RefSeq and is a predicted model, not a curated record. Lineage: Eukaryota; Metazoa; Echinodermata; Echinoidea; Camarodonta; Strongylocentrotidae. The transcript has 2 exons.
UUAUUAUUUAAAAAAUAUAUAAAAAAGUAGCAAAGUAAAUUAUUAUAAGUGUAAAUGAAAGGCAAAUUGGAGUGUAAAGAAUUCUAGGUCCAUACCAGAUUGUACGGCAGCAUUUGUAAUGGAAACAAGUACAAGUAUAUGUAGUACAUUUACACUUGAAAGGGUUAUUCACACCUGGCGAUGUAAACCGAAGUGCCAAAGUAAAUCCAUUCUGUAUGAAUGACAAGCGGGAGUGAAAAAGGAUUUAAAAACAAAAUAGCUGUAGGCAACCAAGGCUCCUAAAUGCUCGUUCAGAUAAAAGGCGAUGAACCACAGCGUUUAAAAGAACGUAAGUGAAUGGCAACUGCAAUGGUCCUACGCAUAUUGACUGAACUCUGUGUUAUAAGAAAAUACAAAAUAUGAAGCUCAUUACAUUUACGUCAUUGUUUAAAAGAAAUGUGCAGUUUAACGAGUCAUAUCUGAGCAAGGCUUUGGCUUACUCACUAAUGUGUGUUAAAGAAUACAGAAAUGUGAAGUGCAGAAUGAUUAUGGCAUUUUAUUUUGCUGCAGCUGCGUUUCCUUGGCAGUUUAUUGGCCAUGUGUGAAUGGGCUUGAUUAUAGCACCAGACUACAGCACAUUGCAAUAUAAGUAUUUAAAUUUUUUAGAAUUUCAAUUGGAUGUGUAAAUACAGUCUGUAAUUUAGAGAGAGAUUGAUUGCACAGAAAUGUGUAGUUCUGGUAGAGUUCUAUAUAGGGUAGUGCACACUGCAUAAUUUGUGUAUGCAAUUUCUUGCAAUGCUCUGGGCAUUCUGUUAAUGUGUGUGUAUGGAAUAUGUGCUAUUGAAAUUUAAUUUUGAUUAUGAGCGCGAUCACAGAAACUUACAAGAAAUCAACACGGUGGCUAUUUCUACAUUCUAUUAUUGAAUAGUUAAUGUAAUGAUUAUGUAAUUGACUAAUAGGUGAUUAACAAGGUCAUGAGUACCUCAUAUUCGCUCGUCAUCCAGGUUGCUGGUGCUAAACAACAGAGCCUGCACACGAGGUUCACCUUGAAGUCAUUCAAGCAAUAGACUGCAACAGGAAAAAUUCAGUGAUUGGGGCUGGUGUGAUCACCACACCGUUGUUUAGCACAAAUUGUUUGGCACCAGUAACCUUGACAACUUUGCCAGUAUGACGUCACACUUCGGUACUCUACUGAACCGCCCUUGUGUUGAUUUUUGAAAGUCGUGUGAUCGUGUUUAUAUCCUUGUGUUAAUAAAGUAUGUGCUUUUUUCAGUUCCUAAAGUGUGUGAGUGAAAAAGAGAGUUUUAUUAUUAAAUACGUUUUACUAAUUUGAUUGCGGUUUCAUUCAUAACGUCUUCCUAAUUUGAACUUCUUUAAAUACGCAAGGGGCCUUUGCAAUAGGAGGUGCAGAAGAUAAGAAAACAGAUAGAUCUCCCAUGAAUCCCUUGUGUUUCUAUGUAUAAAUCACUCUUACUAAAAGAGACAUGAACAAAACAAUCUUUCCUGUUAUUUUAGCCAAAUGUACGUAUAAGUGCUCUGUUCAAAAUUGCUUGUAGACUACAUUAAUGUACCUGUUCUGUUGUGUGUUGCUAAAACAAAGCUGAUUCUAAAAAUAUAUCAACACUCAAUUCCUGUAGGAAGAAUUAUCUUAAGCAGAGUAAGCGAUAUAAAGGUGGUUUUGGAAUUAAUAUUUUUUUCAAAACAUUGAUUGUAAGCCUGGAACAUUUAGUGCAUGUAACAAAAUUUGUUGUAUUGUUAUCAAACAGUUUAUGGAACACUAUAUAAGGGAGAAGUUUUCUGCUUAGGAAAAUGUUUAUUCUUAUCACGAUAAUCCUUAAUCCCAUUUACUUGUAAUGAUGUAAUGUACAUGUAGGACUGUGCCUGGUUAUACAUGUAUAUUUAGUCCAUAAAUAGUAAAGAUGAUAUUCUUAUUGGUUUAACUUGUAUGAAUGGAAUAUCAUCAUGCUUAUUCCUUCUAAAUAUGGAACCCUAACAACAAUUUGACUGAGCAUUAAUCUCUUCUAGUACUUUUAGUGAUCCUUCUAUCGUACGUAUCCUUCUCUUACGACACAAAUGUGUCACCACUACUAAAGCUCAUAAAGUGUGCCUCCUCUAACAUAUGUUUACACUGCCAGGUGGUUUCUAUUCUGCACAUACUAUCGGUAUGACUGAAUGAUUUAGUAGUUGACUGUAUGUAUCACUCUAAAAAGAUAUAAUACCAAAGAGUGUAGAAUUUGUCUGUUUGUCUGUAGUCCUUUCGUAAUAGUUACGUUUUUUCUCUUCUAUGGUACUGUACCUUGAGUUGCCUGCUGUUUGCUCUGAAAGCAUCGAGGGUUUUAUGUGCUUGUACCUUUUCAAUUUCGGGGCCAAAUUUUAUAAUUCAAAUGCUAAUGCCUUAACUGUAAAUUUGUUGCAUUGCUCAUUAACCUGACAUCAUGUAUGGUAGUAAAUAUAGUGUCUAUGCCAAGCAGCAUUUUGAAAUAAUCGUGUUCAUGUACAUGUAACCAAGUUCAGAAAUGAAAAUUAAAAAAUGGUUGUACGACACAUACGAUGCCCCGUGUGUGGCGCAGCAGUCACUUUCCCACACUGUCCGAUUUCUUUAAUUCAACCAUGGACCAAAUGCUGACCCUAAAUGUAACCUUUGACCGAUUUUGCAACCCAAACCCUACAAUAUUUGAGAAACUAAAGAGGAAAGAAUGCAUCCGUGGUUUAUGCUUUAAAGCACUAUUUAUUUUACAUAUUCUUUAUUUGGAGUCACUAAAAAGGUGUUGACUUCAAAUCUUUUAAUAACAGAGAGCCAAUGCCUUUAUAGCUCUGAACGGGCAGAAUACCUAUAAAUUGGUCUGUAUGAACACGUAUGUAGUUUAUACGCACUCUCCUUUAAUGUUGGAUGUAAUCUCUAUACAUGUGUAGCUAUUUAUGGUAUCCUGUAAACACAAAUUAUUUGGAUAAAUUUUUCAUUAACAGUUGAUCUAUUUUAAUGUUUCAAUUUAUACAAAUGGAUGAAUCUACUAAGAUGUGGACAAAAAUUAUUUUCCUGUAAUGGAGAUAAAUAAACUGAUGUGGAAUCUA